Molecule: ribosomal RNA, 365 nt
Filed under: uncultured eukaryote
Lineage: Eukaryota
Description: SSU rRNA
Rfam family: Eukaryotic small subunit ribosomal RNA
Source: RNAcentral
AGCUCCAAUAGCGUAUACUAAUGUUGUUGCAGUUAAAAAGCUCGUAGUCGGAUUUCAGAAUCAAUAUUUCGCCACUAUGGCAAUAAUGUUGUUUCUUCUUAACGAAAAGCUAUUGUGGUCUUAAUUGGUUGCAGUAGGGUAUCGUUUCUUUUACUUUGAGAAAAUUAGAGUGUUCAAAGCAGGCAUUUGCCCGAAUAUUACUCUUGGAAUAAUCGUAUAGGACUUUGGUCUCAUUUGAUGGUUUGGAGGCCGAAGUAAUGAUUAAUAGGGACGGUUGGGGUCAUUCGUACUGCAAAGCGAGCGGUGAAAUGCUUGGACCUUUGUAUGACGACCUACUGCGAAAGCAUUUGACUAGGACGUUCCCG